UUUGUCCUAUCUGUUGCAGCCCCCCUCUCUUUUAUUUCAGGCUACAGCUGUAGCUGAAAAUAUUCUUUCCAAAUUUCCAUAUUCCAGAAAUGUGUCAAAGUACUUGUUUGUGGAUUGUCCUCCUCCUGUUCUUUUAAUUGUUGUUUUUAUAAUUUUAGAUGCUUUACUAUAGUCUUAUCGGGGUCUACAGAGGAAGAGAAGCUGAAUAAAUAAAUGGGCUUAAACUUCUAUUUUGUACUGAAAUCUCCUAUGCAUUGUUUGAUUGAAGUUGGUGGUGGAAAGCAUAAGACCAAUUAGUAGACAAUCAUUUGUGAUUCUGUUUAUUUCAGUUAGCGAUUAUUUCAAUUAUUAUUUCAAUUAGGUUAAAUCACUGUCUCUUGGAUUUUAUCUGGAAAGGAGAGAAAGGCAUGUUAAUAGGUAUAAAUACCAUCCUUAAGUGAUGUGGCGCUAUUAAAAAUCAUGGCUAGCACCUAGUUUUUCAGUCCUGCUCUUUCUUUUAUUUCCAAGCAAAUCAGAAUUUUUUAGACACGUUUAAGAAUAUAAAAAUUUCUUCUGAUUUGGAUUCUUCUGCAUUUAAGACCUUGUUUUCUCCCCCAUAGAAAGGACUUAGAAUUUUGUACAAAAGCGUCUAUUCUGGUGUCUAGGUUGCAGAUCAGGGAAGGAGAACCACUAUGAAUGAUAGAGACUAGAUUUAUUACAGGAAUUAGAUUGUACAAAUCUGUGGGAGAAUCUAGAGACACAAAGGUCCCAAAUGUGAUGGUGGAAGGAUCAGAAAAAGUUGCUAAUCAUCCUGAAGAGGAACUGGGAAGUAAUUUCUGGAAGGCCUCUCUGCACAUGGUGAUGGGUCUGAAGUAGGACAUGUAGUUGGGAGAGAAAUUUGACCUGAAAUAGGGGAAGGAAAGCUGAACUGGGACCCAUGGGGACAAAAUGGAAUCUGAGGAGACAAACUGGAACUCAUGUUAUAGAAGGGAACCCUGUUUGAUCUUGUAGCAUCUAAUUGGCAACAUGAGCCACCUAAAGAGGAAGCUGGUGCCUUUCACAAGUUGUAGCACAUGUGCCUGUUCUAGGACCCAGAAAAUCUAAAGGAGGGGAGCUGGUGGGAGCUGGAGUUGGUGUGGACCUGCUGCUGCUCCUUGUCAGGGAGGCGAGCAAGAAGGUCAGGACAGGGUGCAUGGGCUGGAGCGGUGCCUGAGGCACAACCUUAGUUCAGGUUCUAAGCAGUUAUUACUUAGAUAUGUUGAAUUUGCUGUUUCUGUUUGAUGUCUGUUCAUGUGUACAGGUUGGCAGGAAUCUGAAGGUAGUGGUCAGAGACUAAUAUUAGAAUCCUAGGGUUUUGAAAUCAAAGAGUUCCAUGGUUGAUAAGAUUCAGAAAAUGCAAGGUUAAGAUCCUUAGAUUUUAGGAGAUUGAAGAACUAUGAACCUAGGACUUUAGGCAAUGAGAUAAAUCAUCCAAGAGGACACUGAAGUUUUGCAAUAUGAUGAUGGAUAUUUUGAAAGACUAGUGCCAAAAUCAUUUAAGUAUGGACCAAAACUAAAGUGACAGGGUUUGGACUAUCCCUGGUUUUACACACCUACUGCUACGAGUCUUGAAAUGUAUCCCCUGAGGAUAAGAGGGGACUCCUCUAUGAAAGUUCUUUAAGAGAAUUAUAGUGCUGUACAUAUAAGGUAUAAAAUCAUCAUUGUCAUGACUUUAGUGACUGCAUAUGCACAUUUUUAUUAAAAAUGCUGCUUCGGAAGUUCCUGUCCUGGUGCAGCAGAAAGGAAUCCAACUAGGAACCAUGAGGUUGAGGGUUCGAACCCUGCCCUUUCUCAGUGGGUUAAGGAUCCGGUGUUGCCGUGAGCUGUGGUAUAGAUUGCAGACCGGCUUGGAUCCUGCAUUGUUGUGGCUGUGGUGUAGGCCGUCAGCUACAGCUCCGAUUGGACCCUUAGCCUGGGAACCUCCAUAUACAUGGGUGCGGCCCUAAAAAUACAAAAAGACAAAUAAUAAUAAUAAAAUUUAAAAAAUAAAAAUGCCCCUUAAAUGAAGAUUUAAAUUAAUUUUUUUCUUUUUUUGGCCACACCUGUGGCAUAUGGAAGUUCCUAGGCAAGGGGUCAAAUGGGAGCUAUAGCUGCUGGCCUAUGCCACAGCCACAACGAUGCCAGAUCCAAGCCUCGUCUGCAAAUUAUACCACAGCUCAUGGCAAUGCUGUGAUCCUUAACCCACUGAGUGAGGCCAGGGAUCGAACCCGCAUCCUCAUGGAUACUAGCUGAGUUCGUUAACCACUGAGUCAUGACAGGAACUCCUAUUGGUGACUUUUUAAAGUGGGCAAUGCUGAUGCAUCUGCAUGGCUGCAUUUUAAUUAUUAUACAGUAAGAACAUAAAAGAUGCCUUUUAUUGCAGAUGUGAUCUAUCAACCAGCUGGAGGGGCUUCUGCUGGAAGAGGAAGCUCUCUUCUCUGCUUCCUUCCUCCCUCCUCACAGAGAAGAGAGAUGCAAUCUUCAGCCUUUUACUCUGGCCAGCCUGAAUCUCCUCCUGUCCAAAAUCAAAUACUUUUAAGUUUCACACUCAUCCAGAGUUCCUCAGCUUCAGGAAUUAGGUCAGUAUUUACAUACAGAGAGACUCAUUAUUUUAAGUGCGGAAGGUUUGGAGCCAUGUCAAGUCCCAUCUCCAUGAAGCGUUCUGACUAAUUCUUCCUAAUACUAGUUGAUUAAUAUUAUUUGAAAUGUCCUCAGGUCUUGUGCAUUCAAUUUGUCUCACACAUCAAAUAUCUGCUCAUAUAUUGCCUAGGAGCUAUUUUCUAGGUUUUCUUUUUUUCAGGUAUGUUUCUUUGCCCAUUCAGCUGGUCAUUUCCAUGAAGAAUUUGGAGUCUUUCCAACUAGAUGACUGAAUAUGGGUAAUUUAGUUACCUUUCCUAAAUUUUAGUCUUCUCAUCUCUCCAAUGGCAGUACCAUUACCUGCUUACAGAACUGUCAUAAGGAUUGUGUGUUCUCAGUAUGCUUGGCACAUGGUAGGCCUCUACACAUAUUGAUUUCCCUUCUUAUCAUCCUCAUUUCCUCUCUUCUUUCCUUUUCUUCCUUACGGAACCUGUAGCCAUGUCACCCUCAAUAGAUGCUGCUUUUUGCAUUCUCAUGGAGUGACUGUGUAUUACCACAGUCAGGAUAAAGUGAAGACUCAUUUCACAAGAUAACACUGAAAACAGUGUGUAACUUGGGAUGGGCGAUUCCAUAUGGUUCAGGUGACAUGAUAUUUUUUAUUGCAACCUUUUCAGGUAAUACAAUGAAUUAUUAAUCCAAAUUAGAAAGUGGUAGCUGAAGCCCUGGAUUGGUGCCCAGAGAACAGCUCUGCCAUGUUAUAGGCAUAUGGUCACCUGGCUGGGACAAUGACUUUUUGUGCAUGUGCCAAAUGAAACUUUACAAUGUCUGUUGACAUUCUGUCCUUCCUUUGUUUCUCUAUAUUGGAUGACUUUGCUGCUCUUUGUGUGUGUGUGUGUGUUUUAUCUAAGGUCCAAUAAGACAUUAGCUUGAAAAAUGAAUAAGAUGAAGGAGCAGGUAUAUCUUGUUAGAUGGAUUCAUUAAGUGUUAAAGCUGAAGCCCUUCAUGGGCUAUCAUGAAUAGGGGUUCACAACCUUUUAUUUUGUCCCUAUUCAGGUUUACAGAAUAUGAAAUGCCCAGCAAGGUAGAUUCUGUGCAUGUAUGAAGAUUCUAUCUGUCCUUAUCUACCGCUCAGCUGCUCCAAGGCUGCCUUCUCAUAUCUGGUACCGAGAUCCUCUGUAGAUUGGUAAUGAUAAAUAAUUUGUAUCUGUAGGACUGUCUGACUUUAAGACGUGGCUAGUGAUUUCAUUUAUGGAUGAAAGAUUACAAAGCUGUAUUCAUCUCAAAUGUGCCCAGAUACUAAUAUUUUGUUGGUUAAAAUCGUUUUCUUAAAAAUGCUCUUCUACUUAAUAAAAUAGGUCGUAUGACCUAAAUCAUAAGAAUAUGCAUUUUGACCAUUGAUGUUCAUUCAGUUAUUUUCAGUCUCAAUGGAAAAAAUAAAAGGGGCCUCUAAACAUUUUUAAAAGGUUUCUCAAGUUGAACCUCAUGCCAGUUGUUUACCAAGGGGUUCAAGGAUCCCAGGCUGGGGGAUAAUCUUUGUUGGCCAUACUGAAACCGUAUGGGAAAUUUUAUUUAGGUCUCUAGCUGAGCAUAUUGGCCUGGUUAAUGGGUCCGACUUGUGAGUGGCCACUAUGGACUCAUUGAGGGAUCAGGUUAAGGACUGGAAUGCCUCAGUGAGGAAGGAAUAAGUAGGACCAUAGCAGGGGAAAGCUUAGGUGAAGGCCUGCAGGGAGAAAGGAAAAAUCGACUGGAUGGAUUUUGCUCAGGCACAGUUAUGCUAAAGGCCUUGUCCCUCUGUCAGAGGAGUUCCAGCUGCUGGGAAUUGGCAUAUGGGGCUGUACUAGCAGAAUGGGAGGGGAAACUUCUCUGAGAGACAGGAAUUAUGGCUGGAUCUGGGCUCUUCAUUAACCAGCUGUGCAAUUUCAAAUAAGCCACUCCUUUGGACAAGGCCUCCAUUUCCUCAGUUAUAAAAUAAUGGAGUCAGAUCUCUUAGGCCAUCUGUUCUACUGGUAAAAUUCUGUGAUUCUAAGAUUAGCUAAUUCUUAUACCAUAUUCUCCAUGUAAUUAGAACAUUUCACAAAUCCCUAGGUAGAGCUGGAAAUACCCACUGUUGUUUUUCUGAAGAUUAAUCAAAUUUAUUUUCAACAGCUGAUUUUUGUAUUUCCAAAGUUGACUAGUAAUUUUGCAUCACUUUUAUCUACCUCUUCACUGAUGAGAAGUGAUAAGAGGACAUUAAACAUGAUUUAUAAUAUUUUCAGACACAUACUACACAGCUUUAAAACCACUACACACACACAAAAAAAAAAAA
This 4879-nucleotide long non-coding RNA is filed under the name Sus scrofa (pig). RNAcentral's name for it is "lncRNA (ENSSSCG00060020960.1)". The record is from RNAcentral. Lineage: Eukaryota; Metazoa; Chordata; Mammalia; Artiodactyla; Suidae.